GUUACAUUACACUAAAUCAUUGUGUAUCCCUCCGUGGUCCAUUCGAAAGUAGUGCCUAUUUCUAAAGAGUUCCUUUUCUCUUCUUGAAUAUAAGCCAUUUAACAAUGUGAGACAUGUCUUUUGUGGUUAUUUGUAAUAUCCUGUAUGUGUCUGGAGUACUUUGAUGCCUUGGAUUGGAAGCUAACUUAAAAGAUGAACUUUUGAGGGUGUGUUUUCUAUUGUGUGGGGCUUUUGUCGAAAUUAGGAUUCCGAAACACGUUUUUCUACGGUGGGUUCAUUCGACAGCGAUUUACUUUCUUAGAAGUUGCGAGACGGUAUGUUUUUGAUUGCAAUUAUUGGAAGAUGACAGAUCCAUCUUUAAAAUGAUACCAGGUUCGGAAAAAUUGAUACGUCGGAAAGGCAAGAAAAAUGCUGUGAAAGUUGUCAGUUUUAUAAUGGGACCCUAUGGGAAUCGGAAUUAGUGUAAUAUAACCUUUAAAAAGCACAUUUACUGCAAUGUCAAGGUCACAUGGAUUCGUCUGCAAGCGAGACAAGUAGAAAAUGAAUUUUAAUGAAUGUUUUGAUGAUUUGGGUGCUAAAAUAGAUGAGAGGUGUCAAUAUUUUGGUCCAAAUGGAUGUUUUAGGUGGUUUUGGACUGUUCCGGAUGGGUGGGGGACCUGGUAUGGACAAGUAAGGGUAACAUUUCCAACAAAUCUUAAAUGUAAAUAUUAUUAUGUCCAUAGAUUGAAGUUUCAGGUGGAGAGCAAGAUGAAAAAUAUGCAAAAUUACAUGCAUGCAACCCAUUUAUGCCAUUUUUCUCUUUGUUUGUAGGCCUGACCGUUUGUCCUUGAGCCGUAGAUGGUCAACAAUCCGCUAGCUGUCUUGCUCUGACUGGUGCACUGGACAUGAUUUCAAUAGUCAGCCAGACCAUGAUUGAGCUUAAGGGUUGUGCUGCGGAUGCAGCCUGUGCAGUUCCGGGAGAAAGUCACUGUCUCGGGCAAUGCGGUCUGGUAUCAGGUCUGGAUGAUCCUUGCCUGACUGCGGGUUUGUGUACACCUCAAUCCGACUCUGUGUCCUGAACAGAGGCCGCAGUGGUGCAGCGCUUGUGGACGAUCCAUCAACAUCCUGAAAGGUCAACACUACACCAAGCUGGGAAAAUUGAUCCUGAUAGUCAUCCCCAGGUAGUGGAAUGAAUGUUCACUGAACUACAGAGGAAUCACACCCAAAUGACUUUCCUGCCACGACAUUAGUGUGGCCACUCGCGUAGGAAUUCCUUAGCAAACAUGCUCUUUUGCAUGGUGACUGUGGACAUUUUUGCAAAACUUACGCUUUCAACACUGGAUUUUAAAGAGAAUACUUAAUAAAAUGUCGCUAACAGGACUUAUUUAUAUGAGAGAGACUAUCUGGAUGCGCAUUAAGUGUCACUUUGUGUCGUAAGCUGUUGAAGGAGCGAUUUGCGCCUUUUUAAGUGUUAAUUUUGGGUAGCCGGCUUGUAUCGGCUUGAAAGCUGAAAAUUAUGCCUCUCAUCAUAAUAGCAUUAAUUUUUGUAAUUGCAAUGUGUAUGUUUAGAUUGUAAGUGAAGCUUUUAAUAAUAAUUUUCUUAAAAAACAUGAUUUUAUAUGCUG
This is a long non-coding RNA of Dreissena polymorpha, 1604 nucleotides long. RefSeq lists it as uncharacterized. Lineage: Eukaryota; Metazoa; Mollusca; Bivalvia; Myida; Dreissenidae. The record is from RefSeq and is a predicted model, not a curated record. The transcript has 3 exons.